RNAcentral lists this transfer RNA (75 nucleotides) under Candidatus Sungiibacteriota bacterium. RNAcentral describes it as "Candidatus Sungbacteria bacterium tRNA-Asp". It matches the Rfam family "tRNA". From Rfam's summary of the family: Transfer RNA (tRNA) molecules are approximately 80 nucleotides in length. Lineage: Bacteria; Candidatus Sungiibacteriota. The record is from RNAcentral.
GGGCCGUUAGAACAGCCUGGAGUGUUCGUCUCCUUGUCACGGAGAAGGUCACGGGUUCAAAUCCCGUACGGCCCG